This 289-nucleotide ribosomal RNA is filed under the name uncultured bacterium. RNAcentral describes it as "partial 16S ribosomal RNA". It matches the Rfam family "Bacterial small subunit ribosomal RNA", at positions 775 to 1067 of the family's 1533-position model. The record is from RNAcentral.
GGAUUAGAUACCCUGGUAGUCCACGCUGUAAACGAUGAGUGCUAGAUUUUGGGAAUUUAUUCUCAGUUUUAUAGCUAACGCGUUAAGCACUCCGCCUGAGGACUACGAUCGCAAGAUUAAAACUCAAAGGAAUUGACGGGGACCUGCACAAGCAGUGGAGCAUGCGGUUUAAUUCGAUUCUACGCGAAAAACCUUACCAACCCUUGUAUGUUGACCGCCGGUACAGAGAUGUGCCUUCAGUUAGGCUGGGUCAUCACAGGUGCUGCAUGGCUGUCGUCAGCUCGUGUUG